CCUACGGGUGGCAGCAGUGAGGAAUAUUGGUCAAUGGACGCGAGUCUGAACCAGCCAAGUAGCGUGAAGGAUGACGGCCCUACGGGUUGUAAACUUCUUUUAUGCGGGAAUAAAGUGAGUCACGUGUGCCUUAUUGCAUGUACCCCAUGAAUAAGGAUCGGCUAACUCCGUGCCAGCAGCCGCGGUAAUACGGAGGGUCCGAGCGUUAUCCGGAUUUAUUGGGUUUAAAGGGAGCGUAGGCGGGCGGUUAAGUGAGUUGUGAAAGUGUGCGGCUCAACCGUGUCACUGCAGUUGAAACUGGGGGCCUUGAGUGCGCCAGAGGUAGGCGGAAUUCGUGGUGUAGCGGUGAAAUGCUUAGAUAUCACGAAGAACUCCGAUUGCGAAGGCAGCCUACCGGAGCGUUACUGACGCUGAGGCUCGAAAGUGUGGGUAUCGAACAGGAUUAGAUACCCGAGUAGUC
RNAcentral lists this ribosomal RNA (460 nucleotides) under uncultured bacterium. Its description in RNAcentral is "partial 16S ribosomal RNA". It matches the Rfam family "Bacterial small subunit ribosomal RNA", at positions 338 to 795 of the family's 1533-position model. The record is from RNAcentral.